AUUGAACGCUGGCGGCAGGCCUUAUACAUGCAAGUCGAACGAGAAAGUAUCUUCGGAUACGAGUAAAGUGGCGGACGGGUGAGUAAUACAUAGGAAUCUACCCAGUGGAGGGGGAUAGCUCGAGGAAACUCGAAUUAAUACCGCAUAAUCUCUACGGAGUAAAUGGGGGCUUCGGCUCUCGCCAUUGGAUGAGCCUAUGCAGGAUUAGCUUGUUGGUAAGGUAAUGGCUUACCAAGGCGACGAUCCUUAGCUGGUUUGAGAGGAUGAUCAGCCACAUCGGGACUGAGACACGGCCCGGACUCCUACGGGAGGCAGCAGCCGGGAAUAUUGCGCAAUGGGCGAAAGCCUGACGCAGCCAUGCCGCGUGUGUGAUGAAGGUCUUAGGAUCGUAAAGCACUUUCGCCAGGGAUGAUAAUGACAGUACCUGGUAAAGAAACCCCGGCUAACUCCG
Molecule: ribosomal RNA, 451 nt
Filed under: uncultured Pseudomonadota bacterium
Lineage: Bacteria; Pseudomonadati; Pseudomonadota
Description: bacterial SSU rRNA
Rfam family: Bacterial small subunit ribosomal RNA
Source: RNAcentral